UCCACACGAAGCUCCCGGUCUGAUCGACUUCUCACGAAUGCUAGUUCGUUGCAGAACUCUUUUGACGGCUGAUGCUGAUCGAACUCCUUCGAUCGAUGUUUGUCGAGUCCUCGGAUGCUCCGGAUCGUUAGCAGAGAUACUUGAGAGGUUGAUGAAGUUCUCCCUGAAGUCUGGUGGGCUCACAACACUCGUAGCUCAUCUUCUCACUUUUCGAACUCUAGAC
RNAcentral lists this long non-coding RNA (223 nucleotides) under Elaeis guineensis (African oil palm). RNAcentral describes it as "long non-coding RNA (EGUI_LNC016226)". The record is from RNAcentral. Lineage: Eukaryota; Viridiplantae; Streptophyta; Magnoliopsida; Arecales; Arecaceae.